This is a non-coding RNA of Glossina pallidipes, 92 nucleotides long. The record is from Rfam. NCBI's taxonomy places the organism in Eukaryota, Metazoa, Arthropoda, Insecta, Diptera, Glossinidae.
GGGGUAGUUGUUAGUACGUAUGCGCCAUGGAUGGCGAAUCGUGCAUGCUGCUACUAAGAACCAGCAGUAUCUUUUGAAGAUUUUCUAGCUCC